RNAcentral lists this ribosomal RNA (1371 nucleotides) under uncultured bacterium. RNAcentral's name for it is "bacterial SSU rRNA". It matches the Rfam family "Bacterial small subunit ribosomal RNA". The record is from RNAcentral.
AGAGUUUGAUCCUGGCUCAGGAUGAACGCUAGCGGCAGGCCUAAUACAUGCAAGUCGAACGGUAAAUAUCCUUUCGGGGAUAUGAGAGUGGCGCACGGGUGCGUAACGCGUAUGCAACCUACCCAAUGCUGGCGGAUAGCCCGGAGAAAUUCGGAUUAAGCCGUCAUGAGGAGCUUAAGGGGCAUCCUUUAGGUUUCAAAUAUUUAUAGGCGUUGGAUGGGCAUGCGUGCUAUUAGAUAGUUGGCGGGGUAACGGCCCACCAAGUCGACGAUAGCUAGGGGAUCUGAGAGGACGGUCCCCCACACUGGUACUGAGAUACGGCCCAGACUCCUACGGGAGGCAGCAGUGGGGAAUAUUGGGCAAUGGGCGAAAGCCUGACCCAGCAACGCCGCGUGAAGGAAGAAGGCCUUCGGGUUGUAAACUUCUUUUACCAGGGACGAAUAAUGACGGUACCUGGAGAAAAAGCAACGGCUAACUACGUGCCAGCAGCCGCGGUAAUACGUAGGUUGCAAGCGUUGUCCGGAUUUACUGGGUGUAAAGGGCGUGUAGGCGGAGAUGCAAGUUGGGAGUGAAAUCCCGGGGCUCAACCCCGGAACUGCUUUCAAAACUGUAUCCCUUGAGUGUCGGAGAGGCAAGCGGAAUUCCUAGUGUAGCGGUGAAAUGCGUAGAUAUUAGGAGGAACACCAGUGGCGAAGGCGGCUUGCUGGACGAUAACUGAACCUAAGGCGCGAAAGCGUGGGGAACAAAACAGAAUUAAAUACCCUGGUAGUCCACGCUGUAAACGAUGAAUACUAGGUGUGGGAGGACUGACCCCUUCCGUGCCGCAGUUAACACAAUAAGUAUUCCACCUGGGGAGUACGACCGCAAGGUUGAAACUCAAAGGAAUUGACGGGGGCCCGCACAAGCAGUGGAUUAUGUGGUUUAAUUCGACGCAACGCGAAGAACCUUACCAGGGUUUGACAUCCAACUAACGAAGUAGAGAUACAUUAGGUGCCCUUCGGGGAAAGUUGAGACAGGUGGUGCAUGGUUGUCGUCAGCUCGUGUCGUGAGAUGUUGGGUUAAGUCCCGCAACGAGCGCAACCCCUAUUGUUAGUUGCUACGCAAGAGCACUCUAGCGAGACUGCCGUUGACAAAACGGAGGAAGGCGGGGACGACGUCAAAUCAUCAUGCCCCUUAUAUCCUGGGCUACACACGUAAUACAAUGGUGGUUAACAGAGGGAGGCAAUGCCGCGAGGUUGAGCAAAUCCCUAAAAGCCAUCUCAGUUCGGAUUGCAGGCUGCAACUCGCCUGCAUGAAGCUGGAAUUGCUAGUAAUCGCGGAUCAGCAUGCCGCGGUGAAUACGUUCCCGGGCCUUGCACUAACCGCCCGUCA